GACGGAAGGUGCAAGCGUUGCUCGGAAUCACUGGGCGUAAAGGGUGCGUAGGCGGCUUCUUAAGUCUGGUGUGAAAGCCCAGGGCUCAGCCCUGGAAGUGCACUAGAAACUGGGGAGCUUGAGUACCGGAGGGGAGAGUGGAAUUCCUGGUGUAGCGGUGAAAUGCGUAGAUAUCAGGAGGAAUACCGGUGGCGAAAGCGACUCUCUAGACGGUUACUGACGCUGAGGCACGAAAGCGUGGGGAGCAAACAGG
RNAcentral lists this ribosomal RNA (253 nucleotides) under uncultured bacterium. RNAcentral describes it as "partial 16S ribosomal RNA". It matches the Rfam family "Bacterial small subunit ribosomal RNA", at positions 524 to 776 of the family's 1533-position model. The record is from RNAcentral.